This is a long non-coding RNA of Melospiza melodia melodia, 811 nucleotides long. RefSeq lists it as uncharacterized. The record is from RefSeq and is a predicted model, not a curated record. NCBI's taxonomy places the organism in Eukaryota, Metazoa, Chordata, Aves, Passeriformes, Passerellidae. The transcript has 2 exons.
GGACUGGCCCUUUGCUGUAUUGAGUUCCAAGUGCAGAUGGCAAAGACCAACGCUGGGAAAAGUUUCAGCAGCCACAAGAGAGGGGCAAGUUCUGUUGGAGCAGCCCCAUGUGAGAGUGCUGGCCCUGACUGUGGAGCUGAGGCUGCUGAGCUGGCAGCCCUGGAUGUGGACAUGAACCUGGUGGCAAACCUGCUCGAGUCCUACAGUGCCCAGGCUGGCCUGGCAGGACCCACCUCGAGCAUUUUACAGAGCCUGGGGGUGAAUUUACCUGAGAGCUCAGAGCUCACUGGCAGCUGAGCAAGGCAGGGAGAGCCUUGGCACCAGACAUGGCUGCUGGGGAGAUGGAGCACAGACACACGAGCAGGAUGGGGGAGAAGAGGCCAAAGGUUUGAGUUUGGAGCAUUCUGUUCAUUAUGUGUCACUUCAGCAGAGUGAAUUCACCUGCAAAAGCUUCUGUUUGCACACUGUCUUGGGUGGAAAUGAGAUUUUCCCUGUGCUGACACAAUUUCAGAAAACUGAAAAAUUAUGUCAAAUGAAUGACCGAAAUCUCUGCCCAUUUUCUUUUAUUACAACACCUCUCUCCCAUUUUUCCUUUCAGUGAUCCAAUUUGCCACAUUUCUAAAAUGUCCUUUUACCCAUUGCUGAGUGGGUUCAAUAUCUGGGGAGCAGUUCUUGUUCUGAAAAUGCUGCUGCCUUCAGGGGCAGGUGGGGAAAUACCACAUUGCAGGAAGAGUAAUUGGAUCAAUUGUGCAAAUAUUGGCCAGAAGUAUUUUUUAAUUUUAUGUCAAUAAAAACAAAAAUUACAACUUGA